RNAcentral lists this ribosomal RNA (253 nucleotides) under uncultured bacterium. RNAcentral describes it as "partial 16S ribosomal RNA". It matches the Rfam family "Bacterial small subunit ribosomal RNA", at positions 524 to 776 of the family's 1533-position model. The record is from RNAcentral.
UACGGGGGGGGCAAGCGUUGUUCGGAAUUACUGGGCGUAAAGGGCUCGUAGGCGGCCAACUAAGUCGGAUGUGAAAUCCCCAGGCUUAACCUGGGAACUGCAUCCGAUACUGGAUGGCUUGAAUUCGGGAGAGGGAUGCAGAAUUCCAGGUGUAGCGGUGAAAUGCGUAGAUAUCGGGAGGAACACCAGUGGCGAAGGCGACUUCCUGGCCUGUUCUUGACGCUGAGGCGCGAAAGCUAGGGGAGCAAACGGG